This 465-nucleotide ribosomal RNA is filed under the name Vreelandella stevensii. RNAcentral's name for it is "partial 16S ribosomal RNA". It matches the Rfam family "Bacterial small subunit ribosomal RNA", at positions 338 to 795 of the family's 1533-position model. The record is from RNAcentral. Lineage: Bacteria; Pseudomonadati; Pseudomonadota; Gammaproteobacteria; Oceanospirillales; Halomonadaceae.
CCUACGGGUGGCUGCAGUGGGGAAUAUUGGACAAUGGGCGAAAGCCUGAUCCAGCCAUGCCGCGUGUGUGAAGAAGGCCUUCGGGUUGUAAAGCACUUUCAGUGGGGAAGAAAGCCUUGGGGCUAAUACCCUCGAGGAAGGACAUCACCCACAGAAGAAGCACCGGCUAACUCCGUGCCAGCAGCCGCGGUAAUACGGAGGGUGCGAGCGUUAAUCGGAAUUACUGGGCGUAAAGCGCGCGUAGGCGGUCUGAUAAGCCGGUUGUGAAAGCCCCGGGCUCAACCUGGGAACGGCAUCCGGAACUGUCAGGCUAGAGUGCAGGAGAGGAAGGUAGAAUUCCCGGUGUAGCGGUGAAAUGCGUAGAGAUCGGGAGGAAUACCAGCGGCGAAGGCGGCCUUCUGGACUGACACUGACGCUGAGGUGCGAAAGCGUGGGUAGCAAACAGGAUUAGAUACCCUUGUAGUC